Molecule: non-coding RNA, 213 nt
Organism: Pelobates cultripes (western spadefoot toad)
Lineage: Eukaryota; Metazoa; Chordata; Amphibia; Anura; Pelobatidae
Source: the annotation of a GenBank genome assembly
CAUAUUUAAAGACCAGCAAAUUGAUUGGAAUAUCGGCGUGAACCAGUAUAGGAUAUUUGUUUUCUAUUCUUUGGUUGGUCUGACAACUAGUCACAGCAUUUAGCCCUCCAAUCACUGCGAUCAACUCUGAGAGACCUGACAGACACUCCUCAGGUCAGUACUUAUCUGUGGUCAUUGUCCUCCUUUGCUGCCCAAAUACGUCUUGCAUGUAGA